UACGGAGGGGCUAGCGUUGUUCGGAAUUACUGGGCGUAAAGCGUACGUAGGCGGCUUUGUAAGUUAGAGGUGAAAGCCCGGGGCUCAACUCCGGAAUUGCCUUUAAGACUGCAUCGCUUGAAUCAUGGAGAGGUGAGUGGAAUUCCGAGUGUAGAGGUGAAAUUCGUAGAUAUUCGGAAGAACACCCGUGGCGAAGGCGGCUCUCGUGGG
Molecule: ribosomal RNA, 210 nt
Filed under: uncultured bacterium
Lineage: Bacteria
Description: partial 16S ribosomal RNA
Rfam family: Bacterial small subunit ribosomal RNA
Source: RNAcentral